This is a long non-coding RNA of Canis lupus familiaris (dog), 977 nucleotides long. RefSeq lists it as uncharacterized. Lineage: Eukaryota; Metazoa; Chordata; Mammalia; Carnivora; Canidae. The record is from RefSeq and is a predicted model, not a curated record. The transcript has 4 exons.
UGUUGUACCAUAUCCCUUAGUGAUAGGGGAAACGUAGACACAGAGGGGUGAGUGGCCUGCCCCUAAAUCAGACUGAGUUUAGCAAGGCCCACAGAUAGGGCCUGACUUGUGUUCCUCCUAGAACACAGGUCCACUUCAUGUCUAAAAGACGUGAAAGAGGCCUGCCAGUGGUUCACUCACCACCCAAGAGAUUCUUGGAAAAUAACUCUCCCAAAAUCAGGCUCAAGGACACCAAGCCCAUAGAAAGAAUUAGCAUGGAGUCGUUCAUUGGCAGAUAAAGAGAACAUCUUCAAAUUCCUUGCUUAAGAGCUUCCUAUGGGUUUGGCUCAUGAAAUUCAUUUGGCCCUGGAGAAAUCGCUUGUCAGCAUGAAGCCAAGCUGAUGAAUAAUUCUGACAACAUCACACACCAAAUUAGCAAACUGGCCAACUUCAGAUUUCUCGACCAGCUACUAUUUUUGCCAAGUUUUUAAUUGUGAAUGGACAUGAUAAGGUUAUCCCUCUCCCUUCACUUAGAAUAAAUAUUUGUACACUCACUGACAUUACCCUCUCCAUAUAAUGCAUUUAUUCUGUCAUCGUGUUAUUGGUGGCUUAAAGGGAUAAUAUACUCUGCUAGACCAUAGCAUUUUUAUGAAAGAUGAGGUCAGGGAAUACUUUGUGGGAGAUAAUAGUGCAAUUUUAGAAAUGUUGAAGGUAAACUAAUUUAGCACUAGAAAGAAGAAAGGGCCUGGGAAAGGUUCUGAAGUCAAAAGCUGCUGUUGAAUUUCGGCCCCGUCACUCAGAAACUAGUGAAGAAUUUUCAUCAGAUGGAUUUUGUUUCCAAAAUUUUUCUGCUUGUAAUUCUCUAAAUACCUGCUAUUGAGAUCUGGACCAUGCCCUGCCAGAUAGGCGGCUGAGAAUGAAAGCCAUUGAUUGGCAUGGGGUUGGUGGAAAAGGAAAUUCUUCUUUUAUAAAAUAAAGGGCAUGAUGUUGGAUGAAAA